CCUACGGGUGGCAGCAGUGGGGAAUAUUGCACAAUGGGCGAAAGCCUGAUGCAGCAACGCCGCGUGAAGGAAGAAGGGUUUCGGCUCGUAAACUUCUAUCAACAGGGACGAAAGAAAUGACGGUACCUGAAUAAGAAGCCCCGGCUAACUACGUGCCAGCAGCCGCGGUACUACGUAGGGGGCAAGCGUUAUCCGGGAGUACUGGGUGUAAAGGGUGAGUAGGCGGCAGGGUAAACCAGAUGUGAAAGCCUUGGGCUUAACCCGAGGAUUGCAUUUGGAACUAGCAAGCUAGAGUACAGGAGAGGAUAGCUGGAUUCCUAGUGUAGCGGUGAAAAGCGUAGAUAUUAAGGAGGACACCAGAGGCGGAGGCGGCUUUAUGGACUGAAACUGACGCUGAGGCACGAAAGCGUGGGGAGCGAACAGGAAUAGAUACCCCUGGUAGUC
This 444-nucleotide ribosomal RNA is filed under the name uncultured bacterium. RNAcentral's name for it is "partial 16S ribosomal RNA". It matches the Rfam family "Bacterial small subunit ribosomal RNA", at positions 338 to 795 of the family's 1533-position model. The record is from RNAcentral.